AUUUCCGGUUGAUCCUGCCGGACCUGACUGCUAUCGGAUUGGUACUAAGCCAUGCGAGUCAUUGUACAAUACAAGGCGAACGGCUCAGUAACACGUAGUCAACCUAACUCGUGGACGUGGAUAACCUCGGGAAACUGAGAAUAAACCACGAUAGAUCAUAAUGCCUGGAAUGGCUUAUGGUCCAAACAGUUUACUGCCAUGGGAUGGGACUGCGGCCUAUCAGCUUGUUGGUGAGGUAAUGGCCCACCAAGGCAAUUACAGGUACGGGCUCUGAGAGGAGAAGCCCGGAGAUGGGUACUGAGACACGGACCCAGGCCCUAUGGGGCGCAGCAGGCGAGAAACCUUAGCAAUGUGCGAAAGCACGACUGGGUCAGUCCGAGUGAUUCCUGAUAAACGGAAGUUCC
This 404-nucleotide ribosomal RNA is filed under the name uncultured archaeon. RNAcentral describes it as "bacterial SSU rRNA". It matches the Rfam family "Archaeal small subunit ribosomal RNA", at positions 1 to 409 of the family's 1478-position model. The record is from RNAcentral.